This 465-nucleotide ribosomal RNA is filed under the name uncultured bacterium. Its description in RNAcentral is "partial 16S ribosomal RNA". It matches the Rfam family "Bacterial small subunit ribosomal RNA", at positions 338 to 795 of the family's 1533-position model. The record is from RNAcentral.
CCUACGGGGGGCAGCAGUGGGGAAUAUUGCGCAAUGGGCGAAAGCCUGACGCAGCGACGCCGCGUGAGGGAUGAAGGUCUUCGGAUCGUAAACCUCUGUCAGCAGGGAAGAACGGUCACUGUGCUAAUCAGCAGUGAAUUGACGGUACCUGCAAAGGAAGCACCGGCUAACUCCGUGCCAGCAGCCGCGGUAAUACGGAGGGUGCGAGCGUUAAUCGGAUUUACUGGGCGUAAAGCGCUCGUAGGCGGUAUGUCAAGUCAAGGGUGAAAGCCCCGCGCUCAACGUGGGAACUGCCUUUGAAACUGGCAAACUGGAGUGUGUGAGAGGAUAGUGGAAUUCCAGGUGUAGGAGUGAAAUCCGUAGAUAUCAGGAGGAACAUCAGUGGCGAAGGCGACUAUCUGGCACAUAACUGACGCUGAGGAGCGAAAGCGUGGGUAGCAAACAGGAUUAGAUACCCUAGUAGUC